AUGGCCCGGCAUAAAUGCUACGGACUUUUAAUCCGUAGGUUCCGGGUUCGAGCCCCGGGCGCCCUACCA
RNAcentral lists this transfer RNA (69 nucleotides) under Nonomuraea longispora. RNAcentral describes it as "Nonomuraea sp. KC201 tRNA-Lys". The stretch from base 8 to 58 matches the Rfam family "tRNA", at positions 9 to 63 of the family's 71-position model. From Rfam's summary of the family: Transfer RNA (tRNA) molecules are approximately 80 nucleotides in length. Their secondary structure includes four short double-helical elements and three loops (D, anti-codon, and T loops). Further hydrogen bonds mediate the characteristic L-shaped molecular structure. tRNAs have two regions of fundamental functional importance: the anti-codon, which is responsible for specific mRNA codon recognition, and the 3' end, to which the tRNAs corresponding amino acid is attached (by aminoacyl-tRNA synthetases). tRNAs cope with the degeneracy of the genetic code in two manners: having more than one tRNA (with a specific anti-codon) for a particular amino acid; and 'wobble' base-pairing, i.e. permitting non-standard base-pairing at the 3rd anti-codon position. Lineage: Bacteria; Bacillati; Actinomycetota; Actinomycetes; Streptosporangiales; Streptosporangiaceae. RNAcentral also lists the same sequence under 1 other name. The record is from RNAcentral.